This 387-nucleotide ribosomal RNA is filed under the name uncultured bacterium. RNAcentral describes it as "bacterial SSU rRNA". It matches the Rfam family "Bacterial small subunit ribosomal RNA", at positions 28 to 417 of the family's 1533-position model. The record is from RNAcentral.
GACGAACGCUGGCGGCGUGCUUAACACAUGCAAGUCGAGCGGUAAGGCCCUUUCGGGGGUACACGAGCGGCGAACGGGUGAGUAACACGUGGGUGACCUGCCCUCAGCUCUGGGAUAAGCCUGGGAAACCAGGUCUAAUACCGGAUAUGACUCCAUGACGCAUGUUGUGGGGUGGAAAGCCUUGUGCGGCUGAGGAUGGGCCCGCGGCCUAUCAGCUUGUUGGUGGGGUGAGGCCUACCAAGGCGACGACGGGUAGCCGGCCUGAGAGGGCGACCGGCCACACUGGGACUGAGACACGGCCCAGACUCCUACGGGAGGCAGCAGUGGGGAAUCUUGCGCAAUGGGCGAAAGCCUGACGCAGCGACGCCGCGUGAGGGAUGACGGCCU